AGCGACUUAGCAGCAGCAGCAGCAGUGAAUGAUAAUGUUGAUCACCAUAUUACUUCUUAUUGGACAUUUAUACAUCUUUUCUGAAGAAAAAGCUGUUCAAAUCUUUUACCCACUUAAAAAUGAAUUGUCUUUUCAUUAUUGAGUUCUUUAUAUAUUCGAGAUGCUAUACUUUUAUCAGAUACACAGUUUAUAAAUAUUUUCUUUCGUUCUGUGGGUUGUAUUCAUUUUCUUGAUGGUCUUUGGCAUUUAUCGUUGAUGAGGUCCAAUUUAUUAUUUCUUUUGUAGCUUAGGUUUUUGGCGUCACAUUUAAUUCUCCAGUUUUGGUGGGGAUUUAGAUCACCCCACUUACUUUAGAAUGUCCACACCCAUUAGCCAGCACCAUUACUCCAUGAUGGAAGGAGAUUAAAAGUGGAAGGGGUUGGAGUAUAGUGAGAUAGAAAGAGCAUGUGCCUAAAAUCUAAAGAUUGAGUCCAACUCAUCUGUCAUGGAAUAUAAGUACUUACUUUUCCAAACUUCAGCUUUCUAUUUGCAAAAGUGGGUAGUUCCUACUUCAUAAGGCUAUUGUGAAAUUUGAAUUAGCUAAAUUGCAAAAAGAGUUUACCGUGGUACCUGGCACAUAGGAGGUAUCUAAUAUACACUAGGCUAUUGUCAUUUUUAUUAAGAGAAGGUGGGACUGAGCCUGGACCUAAUCAAGAAUUACUCAAUAGAAGUAGAGCUAUCACUCUGUUUCUGUGUAUUUUGGAUAGGCUGCUAAAACUACAUAGAACUGCAGAUUUGCUUAUUAUUAUAUAGUUUUCCAGCACUAUGGAAAAACCUGAUAGGCACACAGUAGGAUAAUUUUAUUUCUUUUGAAUUCAGGAAUAAACAAAGCUAUUUCUCUUUGGGAUCCAAAGAAGAGACCUAGACCCAAAAAACUGUGGUGUCAGCAUCACCAUGUGUUUCUUAUUAUAUAUCAUUAAUUUAGGGCCAUUUGUACAACUAUAAAAUGAACAAAACUCCCUGUCACUUAGGUAAGGGACUUUAAAAAUGGUCACUCAAUAUUUCCAUUAAAUAUUUACCAUACUUUACAACAUUAUUUUAGAACUAACCCAGUCAUUUAGUAUUCACAUAAACAGAGUGGUUUAGGGCAUAAAAACAUACUCUGUUUUAUUAUGAUAAACCCAGAUAUUGAGGAAAGUUCAAAGUAAAAUCAUCUUAAUAGGCUUCUUCUGUGUGGCAGAUAGACUAAUAAAUGAGGCAGCUUCCAGUAGAAAUAUCUUAUUGAUACUUAAGAGAAAGAAGCUUUUUAAUAUCUUCUGUUUAACCAACUCAACCUAAAAUUUUGUUAUUUUAUUCAUCAUCAAAAAGUUCAACUCUUGCUCAGUAAUUGGCAUAAUUAUACUUCUUAAUGUGGAAAAUUUAGCAAAUAUUAAAAACCCUUUUGAAAAAACCCAUAAUAAUCCUAUGCUGUGAAACAUUUAAGCUAUGCCACACGAUUUUCUAUUUCACUUGUUCUUAAGUUGCAAUUCAGAAAUAUUCAGUGAUUACUUCCGUCCUAAAUAAGGCCAGAAGACUAGCCAAUAAACUUAAGGGGAUACAAAGAUGAAUAACACAUUCUUUCUGACUAAAAAUUUGGCAUUUCAGUAGGUGAUCUAGAGGCAACAUGCUAUCAUUAAUGGGAGAACGACAGUAGGAUAAGAUGAAAAAUUUCAUAAAGCCGAUAAAGCAAUUUGUGAGGUGUUAGCUGAAGUUAGAAAUCAGCCAAAGGUGUGUUAAGUAACAUUUAUUGCCUGGAAAAUUCCAUGGGCAGCUGAGCCUGGUGGUCUACAGUCCAUGGGGUCACAAAAAGUUGGAUAUGACUGAGCAUACAAGUUCACAGGUAGCACUUAUAUAUGGUAGGCAGAUUUCUAAGCACUUAAAUCCAGUUACUCAUUCAAUCCUUACAACGGCUUUUUGAGGUAGGCGCUAUCACCCUUCCCCCACUUUAAUAGGAGAGGUAAAUGAAGUACAGACACGACAAGCUACUCAAAUGAGGUGGGCUCCCAGACAAUCUGGCUGAGGAAUUGGUCUUCUUAACUACUCUCCUAUGCUACUUCUUAACUCAAAGAAGAAUUAUUAUUAGUAGAGUAGCUUUUGGAUUUCUGGAACCUCUACUUCUUCAAAACUCCCCAGAUGUGGGAUAUAAUAAUGCAUAUAAAGAAAAGAUCUGAUAACUCCUUUCUCUCUUUUAAAGAUGUUACCACCUUUAUGUUUUACUCUAAAAUUACAUUCUACAUUAAGCAUAUGUCACAUACUCUAGUAUAUAUGGAUUAUAUAAUGUGGUCAUCUUGUAUGACAGUAUGAAUGGUCUCCUUCAAAGUAUGUCUGUGUAGGGAAUACGUUUUAUUUCCAUAUUUUCCAAUUUUGGAAAUACCCUUUCAUACCAUCACAAUAGCUUCCUGCAUAGAUUUUUUUUAAACUGUUAGAUUAUUUCCCAUUUUGCUUUUAUGAAAUAUUGAUGAUAAUGUCUAUUAGUCUUGAUUGAAAACUUCAGCAACUACAGCAGGCUCAGUUUUGUAGGUCUAAAGCCUAAACAAUAUGGAGGACUUCUUUCAGAAGCACUACAAAAUUAGGUGCAAAGAAUGAAUAUUGAAUUAGAAGUGCUUCAUUCUGAUAGGACCUAAAAGUUUCAGCUUAAUUAGCCUAAAUGAUAAAGCACCACUUCAGAUAGUAACUAAAAUAAAAUUUGAAAAAAUUCCACAAGAAUAAAAUACCCAAAAAGAAUGCUUCACUUUUUUUUCCUCAGAAGGAUCUUGUAAUUUUAAACUUUAUAUAUCACUUCAUCUGAUUUUUUUCUCCUUUUAAUUUCUCAGUUGUCUGGAAAAACUUUAUUCACAACAGAUCUCUCCAUUUUGUGAGAUGAGGAAGAAGAAAGGGUCAGUGAUUUGCUCUAGGUCACAGAAGCCUGUUAGGGGUCCUUCCACUAUUCUUUUCAGCAGAUGAAUUUGAAGAAAGAAUAUUUUGUAUCAGACACAAAGAAGCUUCUUUUCUUAGGGUCUUUAGUGUUACUUUACUGGAGAAGAAGCUAAGCUGGGACAAAUUUACAACAAAGUGAAAGCCCAAAAUGUGGAAUUCCUGAGUACAGAACAUUGUUGGACAAAUUUACAACAAAGUUCAAAGCCCAAAGUGUGGAAUUCCUGAGUACAGAACAUUGUUUCACCUUGUAACUGGUAGUAAUGUUGGCAAGACCUUUCAUUUUGAUGUGACACAGACAUUUUGAACCUUUUUUUUUUUCCCUAGAGAUAAUCACAUCCCUCUCUGCCCCCUGCCUCCCCACAAAGUAGUGUAAUUUUGAGGAAACUACUUAGCCCAGCAUCUUGACAGCUGCUUGGCUCUUCAAGUUUGAAUCUUAAAUUCUCAAGUGUUUCCAUGUUUCAAAUAAAUAAAAAAGUAUUUUUUUUAAGCUUCAUCUACUUUACCCCCCUGUUUUUAGCUCUCAUUGAGUUGUUUUAUUGUUUAGUUGACUUUGGGACGAUCUGGAGAAGGAAAUGGCAACUCACUCCAGUAUUCCCGCCUGAGAAAUCCCAUGGACAGAGGAGCCGGGCGGCCUCCAGUCCAUGGGGUCACAAACAGUCGAACACGACUGAGCAACAAACAUGCACACUCGUACAUCUCCCGUGCAACAGCCCCUACCUACCCUGUUACCUGUGACCCUGUGAAAGUCAAAGUGAGAGGGAUCUAACCGGGUCUCCUGCGUUGCAGGCAGAGUCUUGAAGGCUGAGCCAGGGGGACCAUUAGUGGUCCUACUUAGUCAUUGGUCAGCGCCGCAGCUGGACCCGCCCACAAGCAACCGCCAAAGAGCCGCCAGUUAGCGAGUGCAUUGAGUCAAAGGUGGGCCUGCGCAAAGUGGCGGUCUGCAUACAGAGAGCAAGGUAAGAGGCCAUUCCUGGCCUUCUACCCCAGACCCUCCAGUUCACAGGCUCUGGGCCAGCAGAGAAUUAUGCCUGUCUCUGAAACCAGUGUCCCCUCUGGGGUUAUAAAAAUCACCAUGAAGAAACUGAAUGAAAUGACCCUUGAAGUUUGGAUUUGAUUUUUGGAAGUAGCCCAAAUAAUUGGAGCUAAGCCAGGUGAAUAAAUUGGUUAAUGAAGUUGGAUAA
Long non-coding RNA from Bubalus bubalis (water buffalo), 4115 nucleotides. RefSeq lists it as uncharacterized. The transcript has 2 exons. The record is from RefSeq and is a predicted model, not a curated record. Lineage: Eukaryota; Metazoa; Chordata; Mammalia; Artiodactyla; Bovidae.